Non-coding RNA from Peromyscus maniculatus bairdii (prairie deer mouse), 158 nucleotides. The record is from RefSeq and is a predicted model, not a curated record. NCBI's taxonomy places the organism in Eukaryota, Metazoa, Chordata, Mammalia, Rodentia, Cricetidae.
AGGUGUUGAAUUGUUAGUUUUUCAGAACUUGUCCAAAUGGAUGAAGAUACACAUUGCAAUAAAGUUGAAGAUGUUGUUGGAAGUCAUGUAGAAGAUGCCGUAACGUUUUGGGCCCAGAAGAGGGCAUUGGAUCCCUGGAACUAGAGUUACAGACAAUU